UCAUUGGGUUUAAAGGGUCCGUAGGCGGUUUAAUAAGUCAGUGGUGAAAGCCCAUCGCUCAACGGUGGAACGGCCAUUGAUACUGUUAGACUUGAAUUAUUAGGAAGUAACUAGAAUAUGUAGUGUAGCGGUGAAAUGCUUAGAUAUUACAUGGAAUACCAAUUGCGAAGGCAGGUUACUAUCAAUAGAUUGACGCUGAUGGACGAAAGCGUGGGUAGCGAACAGGAUUAGAUACCCUGGUAGUCCACGCCGUAAACGAUGGAUACUAGCUGUUCGGAGCAAUCUGAGUGGCUAAGCGAAAGUGAUAAGUAUCCCACCUGGGGAGUACGUUCGCAAGAAGAAACUCAAAGGAAUUGACGGGGGCCCGCACAAGCGAGGAGCAUGUGGUUUAAUUCGAUGCUACGCGAGGAACCUUA
Molecule: ribosomal RNA, 416 nt
Filed under: uncultured Flavobacterium sp.
Lineage: Bacteria; Pseudomonadati; Bacteroidota; Flavobacteriia; Flavobacteriales; Flavobacteriaceae
Description: bacterial SSU rRNA
Rfam family: Bacterial small subunit ribosomal RNA
Source: RNAcentral